UACGUAGGGGGCUAGCGUUGUCCGGAUUUAUUGGGCGUAAAGAGCGUGUAGGCGGCCAGAUAGGUCUGCUGUGAAAACUCGAGGCUCAACCUCGAGCUGUCGGCGGAAACCAUUUGGCUAGAGUCCGGAAGAGGAGAGUGGAAUUCCUGGUGUAGCGGUGAAAUGCGCAGAUAUCAGGAAGAACACCUGUGGCGAAGGCAGCUCUCUGGGACGGAACUGACGCUGAGGCGCGAAAGCGUGGGGAGCGAACAGG
Molecule: ribosomal RNA, 253 nt
Filed under: uncultured bacterium
Lineage: Bacteria
Description: partial 16S ribosomal RNA
Rfam family: Bacterial small subunit ribosomal RNA
Source: RNAcentral